GGCUGGGGGAGCUGCCUUUGGCACUGGUGCCCCUGGGGGUGGGGGCACGAGUGGGCCAGGGUGAUGGUGAGGUAGAGGAGGUGUCCCCGACCCGACGAGCUCGAGGGAGCGGCCCGGCUGGGAGGCGGGGGGCCGCGGGGCCCGGGGAGCGGGCGCCGCCGAGGGCCCUGGAAGCGGCCGGGCUGGGGGAGAGGGGACGCGUGUGUGGGGCACGGGGACCCCCGCCCAGCGCCCACUCGUAGGCCUGGGACGCGGGCUGCCGGCCGAGUGGCCUGAGGGCCUGGCUGCCCGGGGGGCGGGCCGGGGCCGCGGCCGGGGGCGCGGAGCGGAGCUCGGGGCGCCAGGCCGAGCCGAGGUGGGACGGACCGACGCGGAGAGGAAGGGAAGCCGCAUCCCGCGGGGCGCCCCUCCUGAAGCGAGCCGGGCAACGGCCGCGGGCGCCCCUGCCCUGAGCCCACCCCGCGCUCUGCCCUCCCUAACAAUGGGAAUGGGGCAGAAGGAGGCGCCCCACUGCGGGGAGGUGAGGGGUAGGUUUGGGACUGGGGUCCGCGGUGGGGGGAGGUGCGAUCUCGGGCUCUCGCCUCUCCGCUCCCUCUGGCUCUGGAGUUGGGGGCCCCUGUGGGGCUCUGAAGUCCGCCUGAGACUUGGGUCAAGAGUCAAACUGUCGCCCCCCGCUCCUCCCCCAAAAUCCGGUGAGCGGUAAGGAAAGUGAUGCCAAGUCUUCGAAGCCUCAGUGACAAACGCAUAGCAAGAACACAUCCACUCCAGAGAUACCUUCUCGAAACAAAAGAUUUUCCUACCUGCUUAUACUUGGUAACCGAGGGAAUUACUAAGACUUCUUGCUCAUUUCUGAGUAUUGUCUUUAUAUCCUGACACUAUGAAUGCUACUUGGAUGCCUCUUAAGUCUGUUCUCUGGGGAGGCAGUAAGGGGCCGUGGAGCUGGCCUCGGCCUCGGCAUCGGGAGAGGCUGGACUUCCUGUCUCUCUGUGCUGAAUGGCUGCGAUGGCGCCCGCUCUCACUGACGCAGCAGCUGAAGCACACCAUAUCCGGUUCAAACUGGCUCCCCCAUCCUCUACCUUGUCCCCUGGCAGUGCCGAAAAUAACGGCAACGCCAACAUCCUUAUUGCUGCCAACGGAACCAAAAGAAAAGCCAUUGCUGCAGAGGAUCCCAGCCUAGAUUUCCGAAAUAAUCCUACCAAGGAAGACUUGGGAAAGCUGCAACCACUGGUGGCAUCUUAUCUCUGCUCUGAUGUAACAUCUGUUCCCUCAAAGGAGUCUUUGAAGUUGCAAGGGGUCUUCAGCAAGCAGACAGUCCUUAAAUCUCAUCCUCUCUUAUCUCAGUCCUAUGAACUCCGAGCUGAGCUGUUGGGGAGACAGUCAGUUUUGGAGUUUUCCUUAGAAAAUCUUAGAACCAUGAAUACGAGUGGUCAGACAGCUCUGCCACAAGCACCUGUAAAUGGGUUGGCUAAGAAAUUGACUAAAAGUUCAACACAUUCUGAUCAUGACAAUUCCACUUCCCUCAAUGGGGGAAAACGGGCUCUCACUUCAUCUGCUCUUCAUGGGGGUGAAAUGGGAGGAUCUGAAUCUGGGGACUUGAAGGGGGGUAUGACCAAUUGCACUCUUCCACAUAGAAGCCUUGAUGUAGAACACACAAGUUUGUAUAGCAAUAAUAGCACUGCAAACAAAUCUUCUGUCAAUUCCAUGGAACAGCCGGCACUUCAAGGAAGCAGUAGGUUAUCACCUGGUACAGACUCCAGCUCUAACUUGGGGGGUGUCAAAUUGGAGGGUAAAAAGUCUCCCCUGUCUUCCAUUCUUUUCAGUGCUUUAGAUUCUGACACAAGGAUAACAGCUUUACUGCGGCGACAGGCUGACGUUGAGAGCCGUGCCCGCAGAUUACAAAAGCGCUUACAGGUUGUGCAAGCCAAGCAGGUUGAGAGGCAUAUACAACAUCAGCUGGGUGGAUUUUUGGAGAAGACUUUGAGCAAACUGCCAAACUUGGAAUCCUUGAGACCACGGAGCCAGUUGAUGCUGACUCGAAAGGCCGAAGCUGCCUUGAGAAAAGCUGCCAGUGAGACCACCACUUCAGAGGGACUUAGCAACUUUCUGAAAAGCAAUUCAAUUUCAGAAGAAUUGGAGAGAUUUACAGCUAGUGGCAUAGCCAACUUGAGGUGCAGUGAACAGGCAUUUGAUUCAGAUGUCACUGACAGUAGUUCAGGAGGGGAGUCUGAUAUUGAAGAGGAAGAACUGACCAGAGCUGAUCCCGAGCAGCGUCAUGUACCCCUGAGACGCAGGUCAGAAUGGAAAUGGGCUGCAGACCGGGCAGCUAUUGUCAGCCGCUGGAACUGGCUUCAGGCUCAUGUUUCUGACUUGGAAUAUCGAAUUCGUCAGCAAACAGACAUUUACAAACAGAUACGUGCUAAUAAGGGGUUGAUAGUUCUUGGGGAGGUACCUCCCCCAGAGCAUACAACAGACUUAUUUCUUCCGCUUAGUUCUGAGGUGAAGACAGAUCAUGGGACUGAUAAAUUGAUUGAGUCUGUUUCUCAGCCACUGGAAAACCAUGGUGCCCCUAUUAUUGGUCAUAUUUCAGAGUCACUGUCUACCAAAUCAUGUGGAGCACUCAGACCUGUCAAUGGAGUUAUUAAUACUCUUCAGCCUGUCUUGGCAGACCACAUUCCAGGUGACAGCUCUGAUGCUGAGGAACAAUUACAUAAGAAGCAACGACUGAAUCUCGUCUCUUCAUCAUCUGAUGGCACCUGUGUGGCAGCCCGGACACGUCCUGUACUGAGCUGUAAGAAGCGGAGGCUUGUUCGACCCAACAGCAUCGUUCCUCUUUCCAAGAAGGUUCACCGGAACAGCACAAUCCGCCCUGGCUGUGAUGUGAAUCCCUCCUGCGCACUGUGUGGUUCAGGCAGCAUCAACACCAUGCCUCCCGAAAUUCACUAUGAAGCCCCUCUGUUGGAACGUCUUUCCCAGUUGGACUCUUGUGUUCAUCCUGUUCUAGCAUUUCCAGAUGAUGUUCCCACAAGCCUGCAUUUCCAGAGCAUGCUGAAAUCUCAGUGGCAGAACAAGCCUUUUGACAAAAUCAAACCUCCCAAAAAGUUAUCGCUUAAGCACAGAGCACCCAUGCCGGGCAGUCUGCCAGAUCCAGCUCGUAAGGACAGGCACAAAUUGGUCAGCUCCUUCCUAACAACAGCCAAGCUGUCCCAUCACCAAACCCGGCCUGACAGGACCCACAGGCAGCACUUAGACGAUGUGGGGGCCGUGCCCAUGGUGGAGCGAGUGACAGCGCCAAAAGCAGAGCGCUUGCUCAACCCACCACCACCCGUGCAUGACCCAAACCACAGCAAAAUGAGAUUGCGAGACCAUUCAUCUGAGAGAAGUGAAGUGUUGAAGCAUCACACAGACAUGAGCAGUUCGAGCUACUUGGCAGCCACCCACCAUCCUCCACACAGUCCCUUGGUGCGACAGCUCUCCACCUCCUCAGAUUCCCCUGCACCCGCCAGCUCUAGCUCACAGGUUACAGCCAGCACAUCGCAGCAGCCAGUAAGGAGGAGAAGGGGAGAGAGCUCAUUCGAUAUUAACAACAUUGUCAUCCCAAUGUCUGUUGCUGCAACAACUCGCGUAGAGAAACUGCAAUACAAGGAAAUCCUUACGCCCAGCUGGCGGGAGGUUGAUCUUCAGUCUCUGAAGGGGAGUCCUGAUGAGGAGAAUGAGGAGAUUGAGGACCUAUCCGACGCAGCCUUCGCCGCCCUGCAUGCCAAAUGUGAGGAGAUGGAGAGGGCACGGUGGCUGUGGACCACGAGUGUGCCACCCCAGCGGCGGGGCAGCAGUUUUCAAAGUCUACACGAAUCUCCCUAACCUCCUGAAUUCACUAGGCACUUUGCUAUGGACUCACCUGGCAUUGUUCAGCCAUGCUUUUUUCUUGGGAUGGUAAAUGUUGUAUACCUACCCCUCCAGAGAAUCGUGGGAAGAAACGGGAGUUGCUGGAUCCUAAGGAAAAUCUGUUGGUCUUUGUUUGCCUCAACUCCUCCAGUGGGGAUGCUUUUUUCAUGCCCUCUACCCCCAUAAGUAAACAUUUCCCAGGCACUCAGAUUUGCAUUCCUUGGUGUGCAGGUCCUACAGGUCAUCAGACGGCCGGACAACCCCCCAGCUGGGCAGUGCCAACCCCUCCACCCCCCAGCCUGCCUCCCCUGAUGUCAGCAGUAGCCACUCUUUGUCAGAAUACUCCCAUGGUCAGUCCCCUAGGAGCCCCAUUAGCCCGGAACUGCACUCAGCACCCCUCACCCCUGUGGCUCGGGACACUCCGCGACACUUAGCCAGUGAGGAUACCCGUUGUUCCACACCAGAGCUGGGGCUGGAUGAACAGUCUGUCCAGCCCUGGGAGCGGCGGACCUUCCCCCUGGCGCACAGUCCCCAGGCGGAGUGUGAGGACCAGCUGGAUGCACAGGAGCGAGCAGCCCGCUGCACUCGACGCACCUCAGGCAGCAAGACUGGCCGGGAGACAGAGGCAGCGCCCACCUCGCCUCCCACUGUCCCCCUCAAGAGUCGGCAUCUGGUGGCAGCAGCCACAGCUCAGCGCCCGACUCACAGAUGAGCGGGAGACAGCCAUCUAAACAGACUCACUAACUAUUGGCAUUAAAGCUUCAGAAAUCUCUGCGUUUGAUAUUCAAACAUCAUAUGCCGGAAAUUUUCACAGUUUUUAGUGAACUUAAGGAAUUUAGAUCCUACUUUGGUAUUUUUUUUUCUUGUUUUAAUUUUUGUUUUGUUUUUGUUUCCAUGUUUUCUUGUCACACACCUGAGCACUUCCUCCCGUUGGCAAACAGAAGUUCAGGAUGAGACCCUGCUGGCCUGGUCCUGGCACAUCCUCUGCACUGUUGAAUCACUGGACUUACUGAUCUUAGAUGACCACCCCCUCCCUCACACCUGUGGGCAGGACAGAACAGCCUGGCGGGCAGAGGGCUACAGUUUAGCAUGGCCUUCUUGAGCUAGGGUGGAAUGGGGCAGGGUGCUCUGGACUCUUACCCCCUCCCCUCCCAUCUGUGGCUUGGCUCCGCUGUGGCCCUCCUGGCUGGGUCCCCUUGGUUUUUCGUGCUGGAACAUCCCCACCAGAGCCUCUCUGCCAUAACUGCCAGCUGCUCUCCCCGAGUGCUCAGCUGGCACAACACCUUUCCUUUCUCACCCAGAACUUAGAGACUGAUUUUUUGUUUCAUCUGCAUUUGGUCUUCUCUGUUUUGACUCUUUCACUGCAGUAACCUGGCUGUGGCUGCUCAGGUUCCCCUCCUCAUGCCCCUUGGUACCCUUCCCUGUCUGCUCUCCCAUGCCAUGUACACACCCACAACCCGUCCUUCCACUUGGAAUGUUUUUACCACCUAUCCUGAUCUUUGAAGGUAGGGUUAGGACUACUUAACCUCUAUUCCCACUCCCCUGCAAACUGGGGGUUGUGGGAAGUGAGCAGCCAUCUCCCUGUGUGAUUUUUUUUUUUUUUUCCCUCUGAUUCACUUUGCCAUGUUUCCUUCACAUCCAGAUCCCUGUCGGUGUUAGUUCCACUCUUGGUCUUUCACGCUCCCCUUGCCUGUGGAACAUUGUCUGGUCCUAGCUGUGGUUCCCAUUGUUCCCCCUUCACCCUUCUCUGUUAACCUUGUGCCUGUCUUCUGUAUGAUCACAUCACCAAAAAGGGGGAGGGGGGAGAAGACUCUUUUUUUUUGGCCAUUUUGUAAUCGUAUAAAAAUAGUAGACAACUGCUUAAUGGUUGGGGUUUUUUCACAAUUUUCAACAUUAGUGAUUUUUUUUUUUCUGUUUGCAAGUUAAAGGGUUUGUCAUUGUUUCUUUAAAAAAAAAUACAAUAAUGCACCAUAUCCCUAUGCAUAAAGUGCUUCUUCUAUUUAUAAGGUUGAAAAUUCUGAAUAACCCUUUUAGCAUUGAAAAAAAAACAAAAACAAAAAAUAAAAAAAAACAACCUUGUAUUUUGUAAAUAUUUUCUUUUCCUGCUUUGGAGCUGUGUAAUGGCAGCGAAACAUGUAGCUGUCUUUGUUCUAUAGAAAUGCUUUUCUUCAGAGAAGCUGAUCUUUGUUAAUGUCUUGAUUCUGUUCGCAAAGCACAGACUAGUGCUUAAAAAAAAAAAAGAAGGAAAAAUUGAAAAAAAUAAAAAAAAAAAAGUUACAGAA
This is an RNA transcript of Pan troglodytes (chimpanzee), 6164 nucleotides long. It is a transcript of the gene named KAT8 regulatory NSL complex subunit 1, with no coding region annotated. The transcript has 16 exons. Lineage: Eukaryota; Metazoa; Chordata; Mammalia; Primates; Hominidae. The record is from RefSeq and is a predicted model, not a curated record.